GGGUUGUGAGGUUAAGCGACUAAGCGUACACGGUGGAUGCCCUGGCAGUCAGAGGCGAUGAAGGACGUGCUAAUCUGCGAUAAGCGUCGGUAAGGUGAUAUGAACCGUUAUAACCGGCGAUUUCCGAAUGGGGAAACCCAGUGUGUUUCGACACACUAUCAUUAACUGAAUCCAUAGGUUAAUGAGGCGAACCGGGGGAACUGAAACAUCUAAGUACCCCGAGGAAAAGAAAUCAACCGAGAUUCCCCCAGUAGCGGCGAGCGAACGGGGAGCAGCCCAGAGCCUGAAUCAGUGUGUGUGUUAGUGGAAGCGUCUGGAAAGGCGCGCGAUACAGGGUGACAGCCCCGUACACAAAAAUGCACAUGCUGUGAGCUCGAUGAGUAGGGCGGGACACGUGGUAUCCUGUCUGAAUAUGGGGGGACCAUCCUCCAAGGCUAAAUACUCCUGACUGACCGAUAGUGAACCAGUACCGUGAGGGAAAGGCGAAAAGAACCCCGGCGAGGGGAGUGAAAAAGAACCUGAAACCGUGUACGUACAAGCAGUGGGAGCCUCUUUUAUGGGGUGACUGCGUACCUUUUGUAUAAUGGGUCAGCGACUUAUAUUCUGUAGCAAGGUUAACCGAAUAGGGGAGCCGAAGGGAAACCGAGUCUUAACUGGGCGUUAAGUUGCAGGGUAUAGACCCGAAACCCGGUGAUCUAGCCAUGGGCAGGUUGAAGGUUGGGUAACACUAACUGGAGGACCGAACCGACUAAUGUUGAAAAAUUAGCGGAUGACUUGUGGCUGGGGGUGAAAGGCCAAUCAAACCGGGAGAUAGCUGGUUCUCCCCGAAAGCUAUUUAGGUAGCGCCUCGUGAAUUCAUCUCCGGGGGUAGAGCACUGUUUCGGCAAGGGGGUCAUCCCGACUUACCAACCCGAUGCAAACUGCGAAUACCGGAGAAUGUUAUCACGGGAGACACACGGCGGGUGCUAACGUCCGUCGUGAAGAGGGAAACAACCCAGACCGCCAGCUAAGGUCCCAAAGUCAUGGUUAAGUGGGAAACGAUGUGGGAAGGCCCAGACAGCCAGGAUGUUGGCUUAGAAGCAGCCAUCAUUUAAAGAAAGCGUAAUAGCUCACUGGUCGAGUCGGCCUGCGCGGAAGAUGUAACGGGGCUAAACCAUGCACCGAAGCUGCGGCAGCGACGCUUAUGCGUUGUUGGGUAGGGGAGCGUUCUGUAAGCCUGCGAAGGUGUGCUGUGAGGCAUGCUGGAGGUAUCAGAAGUGCGAAUGCUGACAUAAGUAACGAUAAAGCGGGUGAAAAGCCCGCUCGCCGGAAGACCAAGGGUUCCUGUCCAACGUUAAUCGGGGCAGGGUGAGUCGACCCCUAAGGCGAGGCCGAAAGGCGUAGUCGAUGGGAAACAGGUUAAUAUUCCUGUACUUGGUGUUACUGCGAAGGGGGGACGGAGAAGGCUAUGUUGGCCGGGCGACGGUUGUCCCGGUUUAAGCGUGUAGGCUGGUUUUCCAGGCAAAUCCGGAAAAUCAAGGCUGAGGCGUGAUGACGAGGCACUACGGUGCUGAAGCAACAAAUGCCCUGCUUCCAGGAAAAGCCUCUAAGCAUCAGGUAACAUCAAAUCGUACCCCAAACCGACACAGGUGGUCAGGUAGAGAAUACCAAGGCGCUUGAGAGAACUCGGGUGAAGGAACUAGGCAAAAUGGUGCCGUAACUUCGGGAGAAGGCACGCUGAUAUGUAGGUGAAGUCCCUCGCGGAUGGAGCUGAAAUCAGUCGAAGAUACCAGCUGGCUGCAACUGUUUAUUAAAAACACAGCACUGUGCAAACACGAAAGUGGACGUAUACGGUGUGACGCCUGCCCGGUGCCGGAAGGUUAAUUGAUGGGGUUAGCGCAAGCGAAGCUCUUGAUCGAAGCCCCGGUAAACGGCGGCCGUAACUAUAACGGUCCUAAGGUAGCGAAAUUCCUUGUCGGGUAAGUUCCGACCUGCACGAAUGGCGUAAUGAUGGCCAGGCUGUCUCCACCCGAGACUCAGUGAAAUUGAACUCGCUGUGAAGAUGCAGUGUACCCGCGGCAAGACGGAAAGACCCCGUGAACCUUUACUAUAGCUUGACACUGAACAUUGAGCCUUGAUGUGUAGGAUAGGUGGGAGGCUUUGAAGUGUGGACGCCAGUCUGCAUGGAGCCGACCUUGAAAUACCACCCUUUAAUGUUUGAUGUUCUAACGU
Molecule: ribosomal RNA, 2211 nt
Filed under: Escherichia coli
Lineage: Bacteria; Pseudomonadati; Pseudomonadota; Gammaproteobacteria; Enterobacterales; Enterobacteriaceae
Description: partial 23S ribosomal RNA
Rfam family: Bacterial large subunit ribosomal RNA
Source: RNAcentral